UGGCUAUAUAAUUAACAUUACACCCAAGAUUUCCACCAUUAUUGGCAAUUUGACUUAUAUGCAAAAGUAUAACCGAAUAGUCUUCAAGGACAUAAGCAGUUAAAAGCUACUGUCUAAUAUAUAAGAAUGGUUCUUUUUCAAAUCUAAAAAUGUUUGGCAUUGUAGUUCAAUAAAAAAAUACCUUGGAAAUCAGCAUUUAGAGAAAAAAAU
This 210-nucleotide long non-coding RNA is filed under the name Mytilus galloprovincialis (Mediterranean mussel). The record is from RNAcentral. Lineage: Eukaryota; Metazoa; Mollusca; Bivalvia; Mytilida; Mytilidae.